AAUCAACGCUGGCGGCGUGCCUAACACAUGCAAGUCGAACGGCAGCACGGACUUCGGUCUGGUGGCGAGUGGCGAACGGGUGAGUAAUGUAUCGGAACGUGCCCAGUCGUGGGGGAUAACGUAGUGAAAAUUACGCUAAUACCGCAUACGAUCUAUGGAUGAAAGCGGGGGAUCGCAAGACCUCGCGCGAUUGGAGCGGCCGAUAUCAGAUUAGGUAGUUGGUGGGGUAAAGGCCCACCAAGCCAACGAUCUGUAGCUGGUCUGAGAGGACGACCAGCCACACUGGAACUGAGACACGGUCCAGACUCCUACGGGAGGCAGCAGUGGGGAAUUUUGGACAAUGGGCGAAAGCCUGAUCCAGCCAUUCCGCGUGCAGGAUGAAGGCCCUCGGGUUGUAAACUGCUUUUGUACAGAACGAAAAGGUUUCUACUAAUACUAGGAGCUCAUGACGGUGCUGUAAGAAUAAGCACCGGCUAACUACGUGCCAGCCGCCGCGGUAA
RNAcentral lists this ribosomal RNA (500 nucleotides) under uncultured bacterium. Its description in RNAcentral is "partial 16S ribosomal RNA". It matches the Rfam family "Bacterial small subunit ribosomal RNA", at positions 32 to 523 of the family's 1533-position model. The record is from RNAcentral.